RNAcentral lists this ribosomal RNA (207 nucleotides) under Escherichia coli. RNAcentral's name for it is "partial 23S ribosomal RNA". It matches the Rfam family "Bacterial large subunit ribosomal RNA", at positions 2055 to 2261 of the family's 2925-position model. Lineage: Bacteria; Pseudomonadati; Pseudomonadota; Gammaproteobacteria; Enterobacterales; Enterobacteriaceae. The record is from RNAcentral.
GAAGAUGCAGUGUACCCGCGGCAAGACGGAAAGACCCCGUGAACCUUUACUAUAGCUUGACACUGAACAUUGAGCCUUGAUGUGUAGGAUAGGUGGGAGGCUUUGAAGUGUGGACGCCAGUCUGCAUGGAGCCGACCUUGAAAUACCACCCUUUAAUGUUUGAUGUUCUAACGUUGACCCGUAAUCCGGGUUGCGGACAGUGUCUGG